Molecule: RNA transcript, 1066 nt
Organism: Biomphalaria glabrata
Lineage: Eukaryota; Metazoa; Mollusca; Gastropoda; Planorbidae
Exons: 4
Source: RefSeq, a predicted model, not a curated record
AAUAAUUAUUUAAAAUAAGUUUUGUGGUGUUCUGGAUCUAGUGUUUUCUUUAUUAAACAUCAAUAGCAUUUUUUUUUGUUUUUUUUUUUGUUUUUUUUUGAGUGAUGCCAUGGUUACCUCACUUUCAAUUAUUUCUAGAUCCAAAAUUUUCUGUUUGGGCUCGACUUCCUGUCCAACAGGGACAAGGUAUUCAUAAGCUUAUAUCAACUCAGUCUGUCUGUCUGUCUGGUCAAAAGUUUGUACAUGUUAUUUCUCCGACACCAAAUCUCGGAUUGAGCUGAAAUUUCGCACAAUCAUUUCUUAUACCUGACAACACAAGAAUCGAUUAAAAAAAAACAACAACCGAUUAGUUAAUUAACUAUUGGUACAUUCUAUUGCUUGAUCUGAAUUAUAGAUGAAAAGUUAUUAUUAUGUGAAAGAACAAACAAUAUUUUACGGAAUUCAAACCUUAAGGAAAGGAAAUUAGAGUUUUAUUGUUGAAACGGUCACUGUCUAUAACAUUUGUGAUGUGAGCAAGAUGUUUCUGUUGUUAUACAUCUUCUUUCUGAGGAACUCCAUAUGGACGACGGCGCUUUGCCCAGUACACUAUUUCAUGACGGAAGUGGUCAAGGGGACUUGCGAAUCGUACCAGAAGGGCAUCUGGCAAAUUCCAUGCGACAGUGGAAAGCAAAAAGUGAACAUAAAUCAAAGUGACUAUUGCUGCGUCUCUUGCUCGCCAUGUGGCGUCUGCGGUCUUGGAGUUUUCUUGUACCAUGACUUUGAGGGCCGCGCCUGCGGCUGGAACUCCAACGUCAUCUGCUGCGACGAGGAGAACAUGGACGUCUCGAAUGACCACUGCGUCCACAGGACCACUCCGUCACCCAGCAUCAUAUUGACCUCAACGCUUUCGUUUGCUCUGGAGGCAAUGACGACAAAGGAGCUGAUGUUGCGAAAUCGUCAAGAAGCUGAACAAUUCAACUUGAAUACAUGUAACAAGUGCAGAGAAUCGGUUUUCUGUUUCAGUGUCGUUAUUGUUAUCACUCAUUUUGUUUGCACAUGAUUAAAAGACACUUUACCCACUUUGCCA